RNAcentral lists this unclassified non-coding RNA (570 nucleotides) under Homo sapiens (human). RNAcentral's name for it is "novel protein (ENSG00000281847.2)". The record is from RNAcentral. Lineage: Eukaryota; Metazoa; Chordata; Mammalia; Primates; Hominidae.
AGCUCCGACUGCGGCGGCAUCCGGGACGGCGGGCGGGCUGGCCACCACGGGACAGGAAGGGCUCAGUAAAGAGACAAGCACUAUAUGCCUGUAGUACCUGCACCCCAGAGGGAGAAGAACCAGCAGGAAUUUGUUUAGCUUGCAGUUAUGAAUGUCAUGGAAGUCACAAACUAUUUGAGCUAUACACAAAAAGAAAUUUUCGUUGUGAUUGUGGAAACAGCAAGUUUAAAAAUUUGGAAUGCAAAUUACUUCCUGACAAAGCAAAGGUAAAUUCUGGCAAUAAGUACAAUGACAACUUUUUUGGAUUGUACUGCAUUUGCAAGAGACCUUAUCCUGAUCCUGAAGACGAGAUUCCAGAUGAGAUGAUCCAGUGCGUAGUCUGUGAAGACUGGUUCCAUGGAAGGCAUCUUGGUGCCAUUCCCCCUGAGAGUGGGGAUUUUCAGGAGAUGGUAUGCCAGGCCUGCAUGAAACGUUGUUCUUUUUUGUGGGCUUAUGCUGCACAAUUGGCAGUAACCAAAAUAUCCACUGAGGAUGAUGGAUUGGUGCGGAACAUUGAUGGAAUAGGUGAUC